CCUACGGGAGGCAGCAGUGGGGAAUAUUGGGCAAUGGGCUCAAGCCUGACCCAGCAACGCCGCGUGAAGGAAGAAGGCUUUCGGGUUGUAAACUUCUUUUCUGAGGGACGAAGAAAGUGACGGUACCUCAGGAAUAAUCCACGGCUAACGACGUGCCAGCAGCCGCGGUAAUACGUAGGUGGAAAGCGUUAUCCGGCUUUAUUUGGUGUAAAGGGCGUGUAGGCGGGAAAGCAAGUCAGCUGUGAAACCUCAGGGCUCAACCCUGAGCCUGCAUUUGAAACUGUUUUUCUUGAGUGCUGGAGAGGCAAUCGGAAUUCCGUGGGUAGCGGUGAAAUGCGUAGAUAUACGGAGGAACACCAGUGGCGAAGGCGGAUUGCUGGACAGUAACUGACGCUGAGGCGCGAAAGCGUGGGGAGCAAACAGGAUUAGAUACCCUAGUAGUC
RNAcentral lists this ribosomal RNA (443 nucleotides) under uncultured bacterium. RNAcentral describes it as "partial 16S ribosomal RNA". It matches the Rfam family "Bacterial small subunit ribosomal RNA", at positions 338 to 795 of the family's 1533-position model. The record is from RNAcentral.